GAUGAACGCUGGCGGCGUGCUUAACACAUGCAAGUCGAACGGUAAGGCCCUUCGGGGUACACGAGUGGCGAACGGGUGAGUAACACGUGGGUGAUCUGCCCUGCGCUUCGGGAUAAGCCUGGGAAACUGGGUCUAAUACCGGAUAGGACCACUGCCUGCAUGGGUGGUGGUGGAAAGCUUUUGCGGUGUGGGAUGGGCCCGCGGCCUAUCAGCUUGUUGGUGGGGUGAUGGCCUACCAAGGCGGCGACGGGUAGCCGGCCUGAGAGGGUGACCGGCCACACUGGGACUGAGAUACGGCCCAGACUCCUACGGGAGGCAGCAGUGGGGAAUAUUGCACAAUGGGCGCAAGCCUGAUGCAGCGACGCCGCGUGAGGGAUGACGGCCUUCGGGUUGUAAACCUCUUUCAGCACCGACGAAGCGCAAGUGACGGUAGGUGCAGAAGAAGGACCGGCCAACUACGUGCCAGCCGCCGCAGUAA
RNAcentral lists this ribosomal RNA (478 nucleotides) under uncultured bacterium. Its description in RNAcentral is "partial 16S ribosomal RNA". It matches the Rfam family "Bacterial small subunit ribosomal RNA", at positions 28 to 523 of the family's 1533-position model. The record is from RNAcentral.